Molecule: transfer RNA, 79 nt
Filed under: Schistocerca americana (American grasshopper)
Lineage: Eukaryota; Metazoa; Arthropoda; Insecta; Orthoptera; Acrididae
Description: tRNA-Ser
Rfam family: tRNA
About the family: Transfer RNA (tRNA) molecules are approximately 80 nucleotides in length.
Source: RNAcentral
GUCGUGUUUGGGUAGCUCAGUUGGUAGAGCAUUUGCCCACGAAAGGCAAAGGUCCCGAGUUCGAGUCUCGGUCCCGGCA